GGUGAGUGCAUUUCCAAGUGUGAAGGGACCCUUCCUGUAGUGUCUUAUAUACAAUACAGUAGGAAUGUUCCUUCUUUGCCACUCAUACACCUUUA
This is a microRNA precursor of Gorilla gorilla gorilla (western lowland gorilla), 95 nucleotides long. The record is from Ensembl. NCBI's taxonomy places the organism in Eukaryota, Metazoa, Chordata, Mammalia, Primates, Hominidae.